Molecule: non-coding RNA, 114 nt
Organism: Acanthosepion pharaonis
Lineage: Eukaryota; Metazoa; Mollusca; Cephalopoda; Sepiida; Sepiidae
Source: the annotation of a GenBank genome assembly
UUACGGCCAUAUCCCUUUGAAACACCGGUUCUCGUAAGAUCACCAAAGUUAAGCAAUAUCGAGUGUGGUUAGUACUUAGAUAAAUAACUGCUGGAGAAUACCAGGUGUUGUAAG